CAAAUCUUCUACAAGCUUCCAGCAAUACUCUGGCUCCUAAACAGUCCGCUGGCUGUUCCAUCCCUCCGGGCUCCGAUCACUUACUUCCUUGCCCUCUCCAAUGGCCACCUCCGCCGCUUCAUACAAGAAGUAUGAAAUCCGGAAACGAGACCCAUAUCCUAAAUCUGCCGCUCUCCUAGUGAUUGACAUGCAGAACCACUUUUCCUCCAUUGCGGAGCCUAUGCUCCCCUCUCUCCGCUCAACCGUUGAUCUCUGUCGCGCUGCCGGUAUCCCCAUCUUUUACACACGACAUCGCCACCGUUCCCCGGAGGACUACGGCAUGCUCGGCGAAUGGUGGCCCGGUGAUCUCAUCAUCGAGGGCACGCCGGCAGCCGAUCUCCUCCCUAACAUCGGCAGGCGCGACGGCGACCGUGUGGUGGAGAAGAACACUUACAGUGCGUUUGCGGGUACUGGGUUGGAAGAGACGCUGAUGGAGCUGAAAGUGGAGGAGGUGAUCGUGACGGGGGUGAUGACGAAUCUCUGCUGUGAGACGACGGCGAGGGAGGCGUUCGUUAAAGGGUUUAGGGUUUUUUUUUCCACCGACGCCACAGGAACCUCGAAUAGGGAUUUGCACGAGGCUACCCUGAAGAAUAUGGCCUAUGGAUUCGCGUAUCUGGUGGAUUGCUCGAGGCUUAAGGCCGCGUUUUCGCCCAAGAGCUGAUUGCUGAACCAGACCUCAUGGGGAUCAUUGGGUGGUAGUAGAUGAGGAUGCUUCCAAGUACAUGGAAUUUAUGACUGAAAGAAAUGAUCUUCAAAAUUCUAGUUCUAAUCAGAUUUAUCUUACUUUGCUUGCUGACAGCACAUUUACUGGUAUUGAUGUUCAAAAAUAUUUCAGGGUAUGCUUGUACAAUGCGAUAUUGAGCUGGUUAAGGUGGCAGGGUAUGCUUUCACAAAGCACUUUGUCUUGAUUAAACAAUACAUGCUUAGUCACUAAAAGAACUUGGAAGCAUUGUACAUCUAAGAACUGGCCCAAAGUUGUUUUCACAUAGCUGCACCAAACGGACAACCAGCUUUCUCGCAGCAGUUUCUUGGGGCAGUGCAGCUGCAGCUGAAAAAGCUGAGAAGCAACAGAGCCUAAGAAUGUCCUUCUCGGCGGCUUAGAUUAUUAUUUUUUAGCUUCUUUUUCAUAUUUUAUAAUAUAAUG
RNA transcript from Phalaenopsis equestris, 1183 nucleotides. It is a transcript of the gene named nicotinamidase 2-like, with no coding region annotated. NCBI's taxonomy places the organism in Eukaryota, Viridiplantae, Streptophyta, Magnoliopsida, Asparagales, Orchidaceae. The record is from RefSeq and is a predicted model, not a curated record. The transcript is spliced from 5 exons.